GACGAACGCUGGCGGCGCGCUUAACACGUGCAAGCCGAGCGAUGAAAUCUUAACAGAUCCCUUCGGGGUGAAGAUAAGACGGAUUAGCGGCGGACGGGUGAGUAACACGUGAGUAACCUGCCUUUUACACAGGGAUAGCCUCAGGAAACCGGGAUUAAAACCUGAUGAAACUAUCAAAUCACAUGAUUAAGAAAGUUAAAACUCCGGUGGUAAAAGAUGGACUCGCGUCCCAUUAGCUAGUUGGUGAAGGUAACGGCCCACCAAGGCAACGAUGGGUAGCCGGGCUGGGAGGGUGAACGGCCGCAUUUGAACUGAGAAACGGUCCAAACUCCUACGGAAGGCAGCAGAAGGGAAUAUUGCACGAUGGGGGAAGACCUGAUGCAGCGACGCCGCGUGAGCGAAGAAGGCCUUCGGGUCGUAAAGCUCUUUUAUAUGGGAAGAUAAUGACGGUACCAUAAGAAAAAGCCCCGGCUAACUACGUG
Molecule: ribosomal RNA, 482 nt
Filed under: uncultured bacterium
Lineage: Bacteria
Description: partial 16S ribosomal RNA
Rfam family: Bacterial small subunit ribosomal RNA
Source: RNAcentral